UACGUAGGGGGCAAGCGUUGUCCGGAAUUAUUGGGCGUAAAGAGCGCGUAGGCGGUCCGGUAAGUCGGUUGUGAAAGUCGGGGGCUCAACCCUCGGAUGCCGAUCGAUACUGUCGGGCUAGAGUCCGGAAGAGGCGAGUGGAAUUCCUGGUGUAGCGGUGAAAUGCGCAGAUAUCAGGAGGAACACCAAUUGCGAAGGCAGCUCGCUGGGACGUUACUGACGCUGAGACGCGAAAGCGUGGGGAGCGAACAGG
Molecule: ribosomal RNA, 253 nt
Filed under: uncultured bacterium
Lineage: Bacteria
Description: partial 16S ribosomal RNA
Rfam family: Bacterial small subunit ribosomal RNA
Source: RNAcentral